UAUUGUAACAAAAUCCAACUAGGUCCCUCAAAAAUCGAAUAUUGCAACAGCCCGGUCUGGCCAGUUUUCGCCUAGAGGGACCGGUCUCUCCCCAGCAGGGACCGGUCUCUCGUUGCGAACCCGAGAAACCAACGUUCGGGAACCGGUCUCUCCCUGCGCGGGACCGGUCCCUCACUGCGUAGACGCGCUCGGGGACCGGUCUCACCCGCCAGGGACCGGUUGCCUCAGGGCUGCCGCAACACUGCUCGCUGGGGGACCGGUCUCUCCUUUUAGGGACCGGUCCCCGAGAGUGAAAACUCUCAGGACUCGUCCAGAACUCAGAUUUUCGAACUUUUUGGAUCGGAAAACAUUCUACGACCCUCCACCAAGUGUGGAAAAGCUCGAAACACAUCAAAUCAUUCGAAUCUCACAAUUUGCAAAGGUCCAGUGUGUUACAUUCACCCCUCCUAAAAAGGAGUUUCGUCCACGAAACUCGAAAUGACAAGUACCUCAAGCCUCCAUCUGAAAAAGAUGGGGAUAGCGCUCCCGCAGUGCGCUCUCCAACUCCCAAGUGGCCUCGCGCUCGUCGUGGUUGCUCCGAAGCACCUUCACGUAGGGAAUCUCACGGUUCCGCAAUCAUUUUACUUCGCGAGCCUGAAUCCUCAAAGGCUGCUCCUCAAAGCUCAAAUCAUCCCUCAGCUCCAUAGGUGUAGCAUCCAAUACGUGAGCCGGAUCGUGGAUGUACUUCCGAGGGACCGAUACAUGGAACACAUUGUAUACACCCGAUAGGUUCGGCGGUAGAGCAAGUCGAUACGCCACGGGGCCUACACGCUCCAAAACCUCAAACGGUCUAAUGUAUCAGGGGCUCAGCUUACCCCGGAUUCCAAAUCUUCUAAUUCCUCGAGUCGACGAGACUUUCAAGAAGACGUGGUCUCCAAUCUGAAACUCCAAGUCUCGUCGCCGCCUGUCAGCGUAAUUCCUCUGCCUACUCUGGGCCGUCAACAAUCGCUCCCGAGCAAUGCGAACCUUAUCCUCUGCUUCCUGGAGCACAUCUCGGCCUAAAGCCAAUCUCUCGCCAACUUCACUCCAAUGAAGUGGUGAUCUACACUUCCGUCCAUAGAGUGCCUCGAACGGUGCCAUCCUGAUGCUUGCUUGAUAACUGUUGUUAUAAGCAAACUCUGCCAUCGGUAGAUGCUGCGACCAUCCUCCCUGGAAGUCAAUCACACAGGCUCGAAGCAUGUCCUCAAGAGUCUGAAUAGUACGCUCUGACUGCCCGUCACUCUGGGGAUGGAAAGCUGUACUGAAGUCUGAGCGCGUACCGAAAGCAUCCUGUAAGCUCUUCCAAAAGUGAGAUACAAAACUGGGGUCUCGAUCUGAAACGAUAGAAGUAGGUACCCCGUGCAAUCGCACAAUCUCAUCCAAGUAUACCUGUGCGAGUCUCUCACCAGUCCAAGUAGUGUGGAUAGGUAUGAAAUGUGCCGAUUUCGUCAAUCUAUCCACAAUCACCCAAAUAGCGUCAUGCCCGGCCUGUGAGCGAGGCAGUCCCAUCACGAAGUCCAUGGUGAUCUUUUCCCACUUCCACACUAGAAUCAGUAGGCUCUGCAGCUUUCCCGCAGGAACUCGGUGCUCAGCCUUCACCUGUUGGCAAGUUAAACAUCUAGCAACAAACUCACCAACAUCCUUUUUCAUUCCGGGCCACCAAUAAAGUAAUUUCAAAUCCUUGUACAUCUUGGUGCCUCCCAGAUGUAUAGCAUACGGUGCUCGGUGUGCUUCUUGAAGGAUGUCCUCUUUAAUGCUCAAGUCCGCCGGUACACAAAGUCGUCCGCGGAAACGCAUCAAUCCAUCACCGUCUAAAGUGAAGUCACCGGUGCAACCAUCAACUAUCUUAGCUCGAAUCUUUUGCAACUCCGAGUCGGAAGUUUGCUUUUCUUUAAUCCUUUCUAUAAGUGUAGGUUGCACCACCAAAGUCAUCAGUCUCAAAGGUGUAUCAGGAGCCACCACCUCCAACUCCAACCGCUUCAUCUGCUCGAUCAACGGCGAUUGAGUAACCACAAGCAUUGCUAAGUUUUCCGUCGAUUUCCUACUUAGCGCAUCAGCCACCACGUUAGCCUUGCCCCGGUGGUAAAGUAUCAUCAAAUCAUAAUCCUUGAGUAGCUCCAACCAUCUGCGCUGCCUCAAGUUCAACUCCUUCUGAGUGAAUAGAUAUUUUAAGCUUUUGUGAUCCGUAUAUACUUCGCAUCGCUCGCCGUAUAAGUAGUGGCGCCAUAGUUUCAAUGCAAAGACCACGGCCGCCAACUCUAAGUCGUGAGUAGGGUAAUUCCUUUCAUAAUCCUUCAGUUGGCGAGAUGCAUACGCGAUCACUUUCCCGUCCUGCAUCAAAACACAUCCCAAUCCAUUAAAGGAAGCAUCACUAUAAAUCACAUACCCUGCUCCAGCAAUCGGCAAGGUUAGGAUCGGGGCGGUCGUCAAUUGCUGCUUCAACUCUUGGAAGCUCUUUUCACACGCAUCAUUCCAAAUAAACUUGGUGCCCUUAUGCAUGAGCCUCGUGAGGGGAGUAGAUAACUUUGCAAAUCCCUCAACGAACCGUCGGUAAUAGCCGGCCAAACCAAUGAAGCUCCGUAUCUCGGUAACGCUCGUCGGCCUCGGCCAAUCCUUGAUAGCUUCAAUUUUCCUUGGAUCUACAGCUAUGCCUGAUCCUGAAAUCAAAUGGCCUAAAAACGCCACCUCUCUAAGCCAAAAUUCACACUUUUUCAACUUGGCAUAGAGCUUCUUUUCUCGAAGCAGUUGAAGUACAAGUCUCAAGUGUUCCUCGUGAUCCACAUCACUUCGGGAAUAGACCAAAAUGUCGUCGAUGAAUACUACGACGAACCUGUCUAGAUAAGGCUUGAAAACACGGUUCAUUAAAUCCAUAAAAGCUGUCGGGGCAUUGGUAAGCCCAAACGGCAUAACUGUAAACUCAUAAUGUCCAUACCGUGUUCUAAAAGCCGUCUUCGAUACAUCCUCAGGUCUGAUCCUCAACUGGUGAUAUCCCGACUGCAAGUCGAUCUUGGAAUAUACACAAGAUCCCUGAAGCUGAUCAAAAAGAUCAUCGAUCCUCGGUAAUGGAUACUUGUUCUUGAUCGUGACUUUGUUAAGUUCACGAUAGUCCACGCACAAGCGAAGUGAUCCAUACUUCUUCUUCACAAAUAAGACCGGUGCUCUCCAAGGUGACACAUUCGGUCGCACAAAACCCUUGUCCAAAAGAUCUUGCAACUGUGCCUUCAGCUCUCUCAAUUCCGCUGGUGCCAUCCUAUAGGGUGCCUUUGAGAUCGGUGUAGUCCCGGGAACGAGAUCUACCACAAACUCAAUCUCCCUAUCAGGUGGCAUGCCUGAAAGCUCCGCUGGGAACACAUCUCCAAAUUCUCGCACUACGGGAAUAUCCUCAAUCCUAGGGGCGUCAUCCUCACCCCGCAACACAAUAGUAGCCAAGUAGGCUACGCAGCCUCUACUAAUCAACGGCCUAGCUUGAGGGGAGCUGAUAGUCAUCGCAAACAGCGAACUCUGGCAUCCUCGGUACACAACCUCCGCCUGCCCCGGCUCUCUAAAUGUCACCGUUCGAUUCUUGCAAUCGAUGGUGGCAAAGUACUUGGUCAACCAAUCUAUGUCCAACACAACAUCAAACUCCCCAAGUUUAUGCAAAGCUAGCAAGUCCACGGGCAUGAUCCAAUCUCCAACCCGAACAGGGCAACUGGGGCAAAACUCCCGAAUGUCCAAAGAAUGAUCAGGUACAACAACUCGUACCGGAUGCAACAAAGAGACAAGUGGGAUGCCAUGCAACUCGACAAACAGCCGGUCUAUGAAUGAAUGCGAUGCACCGGUAUCAAACAAUGCUCGAACUCGAAUACCAUAAAGUAAAAUGAUACCUGCGACCACAUUCUCGGCUGCCGCCGCCUCCUCAGUCUGGGCCGCAUACAUGCGCCCGCUCGGGGCCUGUCGUGACCCCUCCACCUGCCGCUGAACUGGCGGCCGUCCUGCCUGGUAAAGCGCAGAAGAUGUCCCCUGACUGGGACCUGGCGAUGCUGGUGCAGAUGCCGAAGAUGGCGCUGGCAAUGGACUCCUCGGGCAGUCCGACUGGAAAUGGCUCUCCUGGCCACAAAAGAAGCACCUACCCCGGCUACGUGAACACUGUCGGGGGUAAUGGGGACCACCACAGAUCACGCAGCGGGGAGCCUGAUGACGAUCGGGUCCUCCUCGCUGAGUAGACUGGCCACGCCCUCGCGACUGGCUCCGGCUCCUGGGAUGCCUCGGUGGCCUCCGUAGGUGCAUCUGGCUCGCACCCUCAGCCGCGGGCCUCUUGCCCUUCCCUUUCUCCAAGCUCUCGCGCCACUCCUGCAAAUCCGCCGCUCCUGCCUCCACUAUCAAAACUCGAUCCACAACCUCCCGAUAGGUUUGGAGGUUAGAGGACUGCACCAACCGAAAGAUCGAAGGCCGCAAUCCACGCUCGAAAAUGUGGGCCUUGUCCUCGUCAUCCCGCACUACAAAAGGCACACAGUGAAGUAGCCGGGAAAACUCCCUCUCGUACUCGGCCAUUGACCGCUUCUCCUCGCGCAAGCUGCGCAAAUCCUGCUCCAUUUUUCUCUUUGCACUGGUCGGGAAGUAGUGCGCCAGAAGCAGCUCCAUGAACCUCGCCCAGGAAAUCGCUGUCAAGUCGGUGUUGGGGUUGUCCUGGAUGUCCAACCACCAACGAUAGGCCUCGCCGUCCAGAAAGUGAGUGGCGAGCCACACUCUGUCCCUCUCCUCCACGAAGGUGUCUCGAGAAAGCUUCUCCAUGUGCAUCAACCACUUCUCAACAAUCUAGUGGUCGACGUUCUCGCCUGGUCGACGUCCUCGGGCUACACCUCUUAAACUCACUGAUGCGAUCCAUGAGCCGAUCCCGCUCGGCUCCCUCGGCCAUCACGGGGAAUGCCGCCCUUGUCGCCGGUCUCUGAACCGGUAGUGCCGCAGCCACCUCCUCCCGAGGUGCGGUCGCCGGUGCCGCACGUGAAGAACUGGGCGCGGGGGACUGCGCCCUCGGUGCGACGCCCACCACGGGUGCUGGCGGUGUGGGACCCUGGGUCUCCCUCGAAGCUGCCGCCUGCUGAAGUAGGAGGUCCUCAAGAUGCUUCAUCCGCGCCUCCUGCCGAUGAGCCACCUUAGCCUGUCGCUGCGCCGCUGCCGUCUGCUGCGCCAACAGAUCAGUGAGAACUGCAAGCUGGGCCCUCAAAUCACGGACCUCACUAGAUCCGGAAGUAGCGGAGGUCUCGACUUCCUCGGGAUGUGCCGCAUCAUCCGCCCCGACAGACUGGGAGGGUGUAAUCGGCAUCGCCACUACAAACAUAAAAGCGCAAGUUAGCAACCCACGCUAUCGCAUCCCCGCUCAAGAAGAUAAAACCCCAAAUCAUGCGAAAGUAAGGAAGUGUCCUUCACUACUAACUCCCGAUGUUACGUUGUCGGCCGCCAACGUAACCCUCCGCGAAGUUAGAAGCCAUACACUCCGAUCAAACUCUAACUUUUUAGAGUUAUCAUAAACCCAAUCGAAAUACUUUCGCUCACAAGUCAAUUAGACCUCGUCUCUCACGAGCCUAAUUCCUACAGUCCAACCGGCCUAAGGUUUGCAAGGUCUAUGUAAGGAAGUGAAUUCUCAAAAUCCGAGGAUUGUACUUCGUCCAGGAUCGACUGACUAUCGAGAAAAUACCUUUUGUGGGAGUUGGGAAUGUCCAAAGCACAAAAAGUGCCUUGGAGUUGAGUCCGCGAGAGCAAAUGAGGCAAAUGGCAUCAUUGGGCUGAUGUUGCUCUCGGGGACCGGUCUCUGCAGGUGAGAGACCGGUUCCCCUGGCUGGGUGUAGCGGGGUUGCGUGAUGCAACCGGUCCCUGGCAGGGAAGGACCGGUUCCCGAAUGUGGUCCCAGCGAGAGAUGCCAAAAAUUGGCUAAGUCCUGAAAAUCGAGCUCUCGAGGACCGGUCUCCCAGGUGAGGACCGGUCUCCCGAGGAUCGGUCUCCCGGGGAGAGACCGGUUCCCGAACGCGUGCGUCCGAGGGAAGCUCUCGGGGACCGGUCCCAAGUCGGGGAGACCGGUCCCUCCGCGCGAAAACUGCCCAGUAAGGGCAGUGCACAGGGGUGAAAGUUGAGGGGCUUUUAUGCAAAAUGGCCUUUAUUUGAGUGGGCUGAGCCCUCUCUCUCCCUCACACUCUCUCUUUCUCCUCUCUCUCACUCUCAUUUCUCUCUUGCUCUCUCUCUCUCUAGAGACAACAAAAAAGGAGGAGAAGGAAGAGAAGAAGAGGAAGAAGGAGAAGAAGAAGAAGGAGGAGAAGAAGAAGGAAGUAAGGAGCAUCUUUCUCUCCCUCUCCUCUUCCCAUUGGUGUAGCUCAAGAGGUAAGCUACAACCCUAGCUUCUAGAACUUAGGGUUUUUGGGUUUUAUGCCUUGGAAUGGGUCAAAUGGGCCCUAAGCAAGCUUCUAAAUAGAUCAAUCCCAAGAAUCUAGGGAUUUAUUGGGUGGUUUGCUAUAGGUGCAAACCUAGGGCUCCAAAAUGGGGUUUUUGUAAAAAUGUGAGAUUGAUCUCAUUUGAAGCCUUGGAAACCCUAUUGGUAGGUUCCAAAACGCGGGGGCGAAGUCGAUUUUAGCAUUUGGCGAACCGACGUGAAGUUCUCGGCGAAAUCGGGCCGGGCUAGUGUUGAUUCGGGCGAGGAAGGCUAAAGCCUUUUGUAAAGCUCGCCGAGAAGAAUUUCCAAAGCCUCUACAUUGAUAAAAAGGUGGGGGGUGUCAUCCGAAACUUUCGAACUCCUUUCUAUGUCUUAGAUUGCAUUUAAUCUCAUCUCUUCAUGUUGCAUUGUAGGAUUGCAUAGUAGCUCCAUUCCUUAUGCUUUCUAAUUGAUAACCUAGUGUACUUGGAACGCUUGGUAAUUUAGAUAGGUGAGGAUUGGGUCGAGACAUGAUUCCUACGGUACGAAAGAAAAGAGAUGGACCCGAUGGGGGUAUUGAUGACAUAGGAAGUAGUGAUAGUGUUAAAGAACACGAGUGGCAUCCGAAUGAUGAAUGAUGACGAGUGGCAUUAAUGUAGUGUAAAUAACACUAGAGGUCGGUGGACCUAGGGAUAGGUGGAUCCCUUAGAAAAUGCCUAGUGAACAAUGAAUUUAGAAAACUAAAUAGCAUUGCAUGAAUGUCGGGAACCGAUGAUUCCGCGAUAGUCGUUGACCCUAGUGUAGGGCGUCCUCACUUGGAGAGGAUUCGAUUGGGUUAUGGACUCUAGUUGUAGAGCCUCCUCACUUGGAGAGGAGUGGAUUGGGUGUUGACCCUAGUUACAGUGUAUUCUCACUUGGAGAGGUAGAUUUAGCUCACAGUCUGCGUUUUGGGUGGUAUAGCCAUCCAAUCCCCACAUGGAGGGGAUUGUCGUCGAGUACUCCGGAGUGUCGCGCGACUAGGACCACUUGGAGGUCCGGACCACAUGGAGGUCCGCAGACGAUCCCGGGCUUGGGUGCACGUGGAGCUCCCUCCCCACUUUGGGAUUUGAAGGUGAGUCAUGGGCGAGCCCUAGGGCCUCGCCACAGAUUGGGUAAAUGAAAAAGGUUAAAGGUUUAUAAAUGUCAUUGAACAUUACUAUUCGAACAUGUAUCGAAUUUGUUAGCGUAGUAGCAACCUUUAUUAUAUGAUGCAUGCAUUCAUAUUCAUGAUUAUGGGCAUAGUAGCAUAGUUUUUCCUACUAUCGCAUUUACAGUUUUCAGAUACAUAUCUAUCUAUUUGUUGUUACUCGUGCCCACUUGGACCUAGUGGGGAGAUUGGCGGAGUCGGCGGCCGAGCCCGUGUUGAAUGUGUAGUUUUAGAAUUUAAAGUCCUGGGUAAAUUCUUGUACACAUUCCUGUGGUUGAGCCUUGGGCGGGCAGAGGAGGUGCUGUCCAUUCGGCGGUCUGUCGCCGCGGCCGAAUCACGCCAAAUUGGUAGUGGUUUCGGGGCAGGGCGUGACAGUCCACUAAGACUCAACCCUCGGCUCUGAUACCAAAUUAAUCUGUCACGCCCCGGGACCGGCAGAGGCCCUCCCGGUAGCAUGCCCAGACCCGCCAUAUGUCUACACAUAUAAGGCGUCUACAACAACAGCGGAAAUAAAGCGAGAGAUAGAACCAAUAGAAUGAAUAGCAACUAAUGAUAUCAGAGCGAGUAAAGUUCUAUCAUCUAAACCAGAGUAAACAGAAACAUAGCUAAACCAUGAAAGAAAAUAUUAGUACAAUAUCAAUGUCUAGUACAAAAAUGACGGUCUGUAGUAUACGGGUAAACUCUCAACCUCUCACAAAAUAAAACAUCGAGAGGUAGACCACCUAUCGAAUCGUCCUCGAAAGAAGCUAGCUCGAAGCAACUCCCUUCCCGCGGUCCCUAGCCUCUCCCGGCGUGGAUGGCUCUGAAAACAUCAAGAAAACGAGGGCGUGAGAACUAUAAUUUAUAGUUCCCAGUGGGCAAUUACUGAUCUCAGUUCAAGGCACCACUAGGCCCUAAAAGAAAAGGGUAAGUAACGACAAUAAUAAUACUUGGAGAGCCAAUUAACUCCCAAGAUGACAUCAAAUCCCCACAUCUGCUUAAGCACUAGCAAGUCCGCCGGCAUGAUCCAUUCGCCGAUCUGAACAGGACAAGCUAAGAACUCCUCGUGAACCCUAAACGAGUGUUCUGGUGCGUUAACCCACCAAUAGUCAUAAUUAUGCACUAUCUCCAUGCCAUGAGUCUUAGCAAACGAUGUACCAAUGAAUGAAUGUGAUGCACCCGUGUCAAACAAUGCUCUUGCUCUAAUGCCAUUAAUCAAAAUAAUACCUGCCACGACGUCGUCGGGUACGGCAGGCCGCUCCUCCACCUGAGUGGCGAAAAACCGUCCACUCGGUGCACGUGAUCCCUCCAGCUGACGCAGUGACGACGCGCGCCCAACCGACAUUGCAGGUGGUAGUCCUGCAAGCUGUCGCGGAGCAUACUGAGCCGAAGCAGCUGACGGAGCAGGUGAUGCGCCGCCCGGGCAAUCCCAACUCAUGUGUCUCGCUUGGCAGCAUCGGAAACACCUCCCGUCACGCUGAGAACAAUCACUCGGCUUGUGAUUUCCACCGAAGAUCACACACGGGAAGGAAGUCGUCUGACUCCUUGACUGGCCUCUGCCUCCCCACCACUGCGAUCUUGGGUACCGAGAGGGUCGCUUAGAACUCGACUGCCCUGCAGAACCACCAGCCGGUCGCUUCUUGGACUUCUCCUUGUUCUUGUCCCUUUCAAACGCCUCGCGUUCCUCGCGCGCAAUGGCGUUGCCGCGCUCUAGCAAUAACACGCGAUCGAGUACCUCUUCGCAGGUCUUCAGCUGGAGUGCAUGAAUAGUCUUGAACAUUUUCGGCCACAACCCGCACUUAAAGACCUCCGCUCAGUCCCGGUCUCCAUGAACCAAGCCCGGAACACAAUCAACCAUGUGCGAGAACUCCCUUUCGUACUCCCGCACCGUUCGGUUUCCUUGCCUUAAUUUGCGAAA
Molecule: long non-coding RNA, 9480 nt
Filed under: Ananas comosus (pineapple)
Lineage: Eukaryota; Viridiplantae; Streptophyta; Magnoliopsida; Poales; Bromeliaceae
Description: long non-coding RNA (ACOM_LNC034193)
Source: RNAcentral